This is a long non-coding RNA of Brienomyrus brachyistius, 633 nucleotides long. RefSeq lists it as uncharacterized. The transcript has 2 exons. NCBI's taxonomy places the organism in Eukaryota, Metazoa, Chordata, Actinopteri, Osteoglossiformes, Mormyridae. The record is from RefSeq and is a predicted model, not a curated record.
CGUUCUCGCAGCCGGGCUGCUGCGUGUUGCAGCUGAAGUCGGACUGCUCGUCGCCCCAGACCUCCUCGGCAGCCGCCCCAAGCACAAGAAUGCGGAAGAUGAACAGCACGGUCUUGCGCAGAAGGCUAGUUUUUCGUGGCUUGAAGCACUCGGAGAUGGGAUCCGGUGAAGCGCAGCAGCCGCCCGUCCCCAGCCAUCGCGACUGUCACAUCGCAUGACCAUGCAUGCAUGAUUGAAUCACAAGAGUCAUCAGUCUGCAAGAGCACAUGCCACGCCCAUGCCCACCACCAAAAAGAGAUCACCCAGGUCUGCUCUACUCCAAGCAGCGAGAGGUUCAAAAGUGUUUUAUUUUCUGUGUUCUUGGACUGCUGUAUUUAUUGUUAUGGAGUACUGGGUUAUAAAAUAUUAUAGCUAUUAAUCUGCCGGUUUAUUUGUCUGCUGUAUGAUGAAUAAUCAGAAUGUAUUCUGAAUAAUCGAUUGAUGCGUCUUAAUCGAAAGUGUUGUUAAACUGCAUUACGCAUGGAUAUUAAUUUAUAAACGUGCAUCUUACUGAACCUCUAUCCGUCGCAGGGACACAAGAAGAUGUAAAACUAAGAAUGAAAGCAAGAAAUACUAAUAAAGGAAUCCAGAGAG